Molecule: ribosomal RNA, 486 nt
Filed under: uncultured bacterium
Lineage: Bacteria
Description: partial 16S ribosomal RNA
Rfam family: Bacterial small subunit ribosomal RNA
Source: RNAcentral
AUUGAACGCUGGCGGCAUGCCUUACACAUGCAAGUCGAACGGCAGCACGGGUGCUUGCACCUGGUGGCGAGUGGCGAACGGGUGAGUAAUACAUCGGAACAUGUCCUGUAGUGGGGGAUAGCCCGGCGAAAGCCGGAUUAAUACCGCAUACGAUCUACGGAUGAAAGCGGGGGACCUUCGGGCCUCGCGCUAUAGGGUUGGCCGAUGGCUGAUUAGCUAGUUGGUGGGGUAAAGGCCUACCAAGGCGACGAUCAGUAGCUGGUCUGAGAGGACGACCAGCCACACUGGGACUGAUACACGGCCCAGACUCCUACGGGAGGCAGCAGUGGGGAAUUUUGGACAAUGGGCGAAAGCCUGAUCCAGCAAUGCCGCGUGUGUGAAGAAGGCCUUCGGGUUGUAAAGCACUUUUGUCCGGAAAGAAAUCCUUGGCCCUAAUACGGUCGGGGGAUGACGGUACCGGAAGAAUAAGCACCGGCUAACUACGUG